Molecule: ribosomal RNA, 305 nt
Filed under: uncultured bacterium
Lineage: Bacteria
Description: bacterial SSU rRNA
Rfam family: Bacterial small subunit ribosomal RNA
Source: RNAcentral
AUCCCUACGGGGGGCAGCAGUGGGGAAUAUUGGUCAAUGGGCGGAAGCCUGAACCAGCCAAGUCGCGUGAGGGAAUAAGGCCCUACGGGUCGUAAACCUCUUUUGCCGGGGAGCAAGGGCGGGGACGUGUCCCGGCCCGGAGAGUACCCGGAGAAAAAGCAUCGGCUAACUCCGUGCCAGCAGCCGCGGUAAUACGGAGGAUGCGAGCGUUAUCCGGAUUUAUUGGGUUUAAAGGGUGCGUAGGCGGGCUUUUAAGGCAGCGGUAAAAAUUCGGGGCUCAACCCCGCCCGGCCGUUGAAACUGGG